Molecule: ribosomal RNA, 503 nt
Filed under: uncultured bacterium
Lineage: Bacteria
Description: bacterial SSU rRNA
Rfam family: Bacterial small subunit ribosomal RNA
Source: RNAcentral
AUUGAACGCUGGCGGCAUGCUUUACACAUGCAAGUCGAACGCGGCCGAGGGGCAACUCUUGGCCGAGUGGCGAACGGGUGAGUAAUACAUCGGAACGUGUCCCGUUGUGGGGGAUAACCCAUCGAAAGGUGGGCUAAUACCGCAUACGCCCUGAGGGGGAAAGCGGGGGACCUGAGAGGGCCUCGCGCGAGGGGAGCGGCCGAUGUCGGAUUAGCUAGUAGGUUGGGUAAAGGCUGACCUAGGCGACGAUCCGUAGCUGGUCUGAGAGGAUGAUCAGCCACACUGGGACUGAGACACGGCCCAGACUCCUACGGGAGGCAGCAGUGGGGAAUUUUGGACAAUGGGGGCAACCCUGAUCCAGCCAUGCCGCGUGAGUGAAGAAGGCCUUCGGGUUGUAAAGCUCUUUCGGCCGGAACGAAAUCGCAUCUCCUAACACGGGGUGUGGAUGACGGUACCGGAAGAAGAAGCACCGGCUAACUACGUGCCAGCCGCCGCCGUAACAC